GACGAACGCUGGCGGCGUGCCUAAUACAUGCAAGUCGAGCGCAGGAAACUGACGGAACUCUUCGGAGGGAAGGCAGUGGAAUGAGCGGCGGACGGGUGAGUAACACGUAAGGAACCUGCCUCAAGGAUUGGGAUAACUCCGAGAAAUCGGAGCUAAUACCGGAUAGUUCAACGGACCGCAUGGUCCGCUGAUGAAAGGCGCUUCGGCGUCACCUUGAGAUGGCCUUGCGGUGCAUUAGCUAGUUGGUGGGGUAACGGCACACCAAGGCGACGAGGAAUAGCCGGCCUGAGAGGUUGAUCGGACACACUGGGACUGAGACACGGCCGAGACUCCUACGGGGGGCAGCAGUAGGUAAUCUUCCACAAUGGACGAAAGUCUGAUGGAGCAACGCCGCGUGAGUGAUGAAGGUUUUCGGAUCGUAAAACUCUGUUGUAAGGGAAGAACACGUACGAGAGGAAAUGCUCGUACCUUGACGGUACCUUACGAGAAAGCCACGGCUAACUACGUGCCAGCAGCCGCCGUAA
This 524-nucleotide ribosomal RNA is filed under the name uncultured bacterium. RNAcentral describes it as "partial 16S ribosomal RNA". It matches the Rfam family "Bacterial small subunit ribosomal RNA", at positions 28 to 523 of the family's 1533-position model. The record is from RNAcentral.